UACGGAGGGUGCAAGCGUUGUCCGGAUUUAUUGGGCGUAAAGGAUGCGUAGAUGGUUCAGUAAGUUACUGGUGGGAAAUCGAGGCCCAACCUCGUGGAAGUUAGUAAUACUGUUGAACUUGAGUGCAGGAGAGGUUAACGGAACUUCAUGUGGAGCGGUAAAAUGCGUAGAUAUAUGAAAGAACAUCAAUAUAGCGAAGGCAGUUAACUAUUCUGCUACUGACAUUGAGGCAUGAAAGCGUGGGGAGCAAAACGG
Molecule: ribosomal RNA, 255 nt
Filed under: uncultured bacterium
Lineage: Bacteria
Description: partial 16S ribosomal RNA
Rfam family: Bacterial small subunit ribosomal RNA
Source: RNAcentral